RNAcentral lists this ribosomal RNA (727 nucleotides) under uncultured Alphaproteobacteria bacterium. RNAcentral describes it as "bacterial SSU rRNA". It matches the Rfam family "Bacterial small subunit ribosomal RNA", at positions 8 to 781 of the family's 1533-position model. Lineage: Bacteria; Pseudomonadati; Pseudomonadota; Alphaproteobacteria. The record is from RNAcentral.
AGAGUUUGAUCCUGGCUCAGAGCGAACGCUGGCGGCAGGCCUAACACAUGCAAGUCGAACGAACUCUUCGGAGUUAGUGGCGGACGGGUGAGUAACACGUGGGAACGUGCCUUUUGGUUCGGAAUAACUCAGGGAAACUUGUGCUAAUACCGAAUGUGCCCUUCGGGGGAAAGAUUUAUCGCCAUUAGAGCGGCCCGCGUCUGAUUAGCUAGUUGGUGAGGUAAAGGCUCACCAAGGCGACGAUCAGUAGCUGGUCUGAGAGGAUGAUCAGCCACAUUGGGACCGAGACGCGGCCCAAACUCCUACGGGAGGCAGCAGUGGGGAAUCUUGCGCAAUGGGCGAAAGCCUGACGCAGCCAUGCCGCGUGAAUGAUGAAGGUCUUAGGAUUGUAAAAUUCUUUCACCGGGGACGAUAAUGACGGUACCCGGAGAAGAAGCCCCGGCUAACUUCGUGCCAGCAGCCGCGGUAAUACGAAGGGGGCUAGCGUUGCUCGGAAUUACUGGGCGUAAAGGGAGCGUAGGCGGACAUUUAAGUCAGGGGUGAAAUCCCGGGGCUCAACCUCGGAAUUGCCUUUGAUACUGGGUGUCUUGAGUAUGAGAGAGGUAUGUGGAACUCCGAGUGUAGAGGUGAAGUUCGUAGAUAUUCGGAAGAACACCAGUGGCGAAGGCGACAUACUGGCUCAUUACUGACGCUGAGGCUCGAAAGCGUGGGGAGCAAACAGGAUUAG